This 1472-nucleotide long non-coding RNA is filed under the name Nothobranchius furzeri (turquoise killifish). Its description in RNAcentral is "lncRNA (ENSNFUG00015009352.1)". The record is from RNAcentral. Lineage: Eukaryota; Metazoa; Chordata; Actinopteri; Cyprinodontiformes; Nothobranchiidae.
UGACCUUGUCACAACUGGCGCCAUCUCAAGUGGCAGAGUUACUACUGAGCUCAAACAUAACAGUUGACGUCAACCUGAUCAAUCAGGUCUUUGAUCGUUUAGUUGCUGGCAACGCAUUGGAAAACGUGGAUGAGUUUCUCACUCAUCUCACAGCAGAAGGACAGGUAGGUUACACUCUGAAGCAGCAAAUAAAAUCAUUGUACAAUACGGAAAUAUUCAAGCAAAUGAAACCACAGACCAUCUAUACAUCUUCAAAGCUCCUCAUACCUACGUAUCCUUUUAAGGAGAUGUUUCACAACAUAUUACUGAUUUACAGCAUUUAAAAAAUACUGCAGUGGAUACUAACAUCAUAGCAAGUGUAAGGGAAUUGGUUUUCUCCAUUUGUCAAUAUUUCACAGGUCCCACAGUUCCAACCUGUUGUGAGUGAUCGCAUGAUGAACAGGACCUUUGACAUCAUCAGUCCACACUUCAUAAGCUUCCAAAGAAACGACUAUUCUCUUUGGUUCCGAGUCAAGCUGCUCCCUAUCCUUGCAAGUUUCACUCCAGAGAUGCUCCAAAAUGUAACCUCAACCAUCAACUGCACAAACUAUCAGAUCAUUGUGAGUGGAAUGGCCAAAGUGUCUUCUGCCAUGCCCCAGUUUAGAAAACAAGAAAUUGCAGCAGUUUUGCUCAGCUACAUGACCAAAUCUGUCAACAUCAUCAACCAGCCAGUUUGCAGGCCAAAUGGUGAAAGUGACGCCGUGUGGAUCGAAACAAACCUGGGUCCAUUUGCUGAAUACAUUACAUUCUCUGAACUCAAAUUCUUUAACUUGUCUCAGAUCGCAAUAAUCGACUUAAUUUCUGCAGAAGAAAAAGCUAAGUUCCUUUUGCAAGCUAACAACCUUGCCAAUGAAACUCUUGUAGUGCUUGUUUUUACAAGUCUCACCAUGAACUCUCCCCUGGACAACCUUCAAUCAUUCUUUGAAAUAUUUGUAGAUGGUUUUAUAAAGCAAAACCUAACAUCGCUGAAUCCUAGAGUGCGUGACACCAUCCUCAAUCUGACGUUAACAGCGAUUGGUCCAAAUCUUUCGCUGCUGAGUGUAGAGCAAGUAAAACUGUGGUUCCAGAUUUACCUCCCUUUGUUUCUCCCGAGCCUUGACUCAAGAACCUUUGAAGUGAUUUCAAGAAACAUCUCAUGUAGCUCCUAUCAACAGAUUAUUAAAGGAUUUGAUAACAUUAUCAGUCAACUCUUUGUGGGACAAAAUCAGACGGUGUUUACCUUCAUACUGGACUAUCUGAAUGGACAACUGUCCUCGGGUUUUUCGUGUGUUCAGACUGAAAAUGAUGACAGAAGUUGGCUUGAAAGUAAUUUUGGUUCAUUCUGUUCUCAAGCCUCCUUACAUGAUUUCCUGUCCUUGAAGAGAAAUUUUAAAGGAGUGAGUGUUUCUUUACCUUUUUUUUUUUUUUUUUUUUUGGUUCCUACAUUUCUUUAA